Molecule: long non-coding RNA, 424 nt
Organism: Engraulis encrasicolus (European anchovy)
Lineage: Eukaryota; Metazoa; Chordata; Actinopteri; Clupeiformes; Engraulidae
Exons: 3
Source: RefSeq, a predicted model, not a curated record
UGUGUCAUAUCCACUCAUCAUUGACUGAUGACCCCUGAACAGAUUGUCAGUGCCCUUCCCAACUUCAUGUGUUUCUUUGUCAUUGCUCUUCCUCAUACAGCUUGCCCCCACACUCACAGCUUGGUGUGUAUAUUGUAACAAUGUGUUUCUUUAUUUCAUUGCUCCAGAUGUGUCAUGUUCACUCAUCAUUCACAGAUAUCCGGCCCUUCUUCAUACAGCUUGCCCCCUCCCCACAUUCACUGCUUGCUGUGUCAUAUUCACUCAUCAUUGACUGAUGACCCCUGAACAGAUUUCCGGCCCUUCUUCAUACACCUUGUCUUCCACCUUCACAGUCAUGGCACAACACUCAGGAGUGCUGUGAGUUGCAUGACACCUGCAGAGGCUCCAUACUACAGACUACUACUACUCGGUACUACAGAAACCG